GUAAUUUAUUUACAAUUCAUUUCUAUUGCAGGAUUUUAUAUUUUACUGAAAAAGUUUUGGCUUUUCCAUAUUUGAGAUUUACAUUUGGGUGAAAACUAUUUACUGGUAUUUGACUGUUACAAAGUGGACAUGAGACAUUACUCUACAGCACUCUUCUUUAACAGAAGCCGAAUUUGAUAACAUAGUGGCGGAAUGGCUACGUUUCGCCAAGCAGAGGAAGCAGAGGGAAGAAAGAGGAACACAGGAACACAGGGAAGAAAGAGGAAUACAGGAACAAAAUAAGGAAAAUAAUUAGUAUUUAAAACAGAUUUUGUGUAAUAACAAUUAGAUGUAUUAUAAAACAGGUUUUGUGUAAUAA
Long non-coding RNA from Formica exsecta, 358 nucleotides. RefSeq lists it as uncharacterized. The transcript is spliced from 2 exons. The record is from RefSeq and is a predicted model, not a curated record. NCBI's taxonomy places the organism in Eukaryota, Metazoa, Arthropoda, Insecta, Hymenoptera, Formicidae.